Molecule: ribosomal RNA, 1474 nt
Filed under: metagenome
Description: bacterial LSU rRNA
Rfam family: Bacterial large subunit ribosomal RNA
Source: RNAcentral
UCGGAUCAGGGUUAGUCGGAACCUAAGGCUAAUCCGAACGGAAAUGCCGAUGGCAAACAGGUUAAUAUUCCUGUACUGGUGCAAUCAGUGAAGGGACGACGAAGGAGUGAAAGGUCUGCGUACUGACGGAAAUGUACGUUAAAGCCAGUAGAUUCAGGUGCUGUAGGUAAAUCCGCAGCGCUUAUCGAUGGUGACAGUACCGAGAGUCUUCGGACAAUCGGAUAAUGACCCUAAGCAUACUUCCAAGAAAACUCUCUAAACUUAUGAUUGUACUGCCCGUACCGUAAACCGACACAGGUAGUCGAGAAGAAGAUUCUAAGGUGCUCGAGUGAUUCAUGGCUAAGGAACUCGGCAAAUUAACCCUGUAACUUCGGGAAAAAGGGUGCCCUCUUCGGAGGGUCGCAGAGAAAUGGCUCAGGCGACUGUUUAACAAAAACACAUGGCUAUGCUAAAUCGAAAGAUGAUGUAUAUGGCCUGACACCUGCCCGGUGCUGGAAGGUUAAGAGGAGAUGUCAGUCGCAAGACAAAGCAUUGAAUCGAAGCCCCAGUAAACGGCGGCCGUAACGAUAACGGUCCUAAGGUAGCGAAAUUCCUUGUCGGGUAAGUUCCGACCUGCACGAAUGGUGUAACUAUCUGAGCGCUGUCUCAGUCAUGAGCUCGGUGAAAUUGUAGUAGCGGUGAAGAUGCCGCUUACCCGCAACGGGACGGAAAGACCCCGUGCACCUUCACUACAACUUUGCAUUGAUUCUGGAUAAAUGAUGUGUAGGAUAGGUGGGAGACUUUGAAGCGGUGGCGCUAGCCAUCGUGGAGUCAACCUUGAAAUACCACCCUUCAUUUAUUCGGGAUCUAAUCCCGCUCAAGCGGGAGACAUUGCAUGGUGGGUAGUUUGACUGGGGUGGUCGCCUCCAAAAGAGUAACGGAGGCUUUCAAAGGUACCCUCAGCACGCUUGGUAACCGUGCGCGGAGUGCAAUAGCAUAAGGGCGCUUGACUGUGAGACUUACAAGUCGAGCAGGUACGAAAGUAGGAUAUAGUGAUCCGGUGGUUCCGCAUGGAAGGGCCAUCGCUCAAAGGAUAAAAGGUACGCCCGGGAUAACAGGCUGAUCUCCCCCAAGAGCUCACAUCGACGGGGAGGUUUGGCACCUCGAUGUCGGCUCGUCACAUCCUGGGGCUGGAGAAGGUCCCAAGGGUUCGGCUGUUCGCCGAUUAAAGUGGCACGCGAGCUGGGUUCAGAACGUCGUGAGACAGUUCGGUCCCUAUCUGUUGUGGGCGCUGGAAGUUUGAGAGGACCUGACUCUAGUACGAGAGGACCGAGUCGGACGUACCUCUAGUGGACCUGUUGUGGCGCCAGCUGCAUCGCAGGGUAGCUAUGUACGGUUGAGAUAAGCGCUGAAAGCAUCUAGCACGAAACUCGCCUCAAGAUGAGACUUCCUUUAAGGGUCGUCGGAGACUACGACGUUGAUAGGUUGUAAGUGU